This 984-nucleotide long non-coding RNA is filed under the name Lathyrus oleraceus (garden pea). Its description in RNAcentral is "Pisum sativum (pea) long non-coding RNA (PSAT_LNC038931)". Lineage: Eukaryota; Viridiplantae; Streptophyta; Magnoliopsida; Fabales; Fabaceae. The record is from RNAcentral.
AGGAAUGACAAUUAUUUGACUAAACAAGAAAGAGAACUUGUACUCAAAUAGUCGUGGAGAAAAAAUUGAAGACUCAAAGUUAUCUCCCUUCUGGUUUCUUGUUGUAAAAGGAUUUGAUUUGUUUGUGCUUAAGUGGAUAGAGGUGACGACUAUUUGACUAACCGAGUAAGAAAGCUCGUAUUCAAAUAAUCGAGGAGAGGAGUUGAAAACUCAAAACCAUCCCCCUUUUCAUUUCCAAAUGAAAUGGUAUUUGAUUGUGAUUAGGUAUUUUAAUUUAAUUUUAAUAAAGAAUACUCGAUGUAUUUCCAAAUGAAAUGGUAUUUGAUUGUGAUUAGGUAUUUUAAUUUAAUUUUAAUAAAGAAUACUCGAUGUUGGAUCGAGGUUUUAAAUUUGUGUUUUAUGAAUGAAGUGGAUUUUAUUUAGUGAGUCGUUCAUCUAAUCGAUCAAUUAAUAAUCGAAUAGGUCUCAUUGUAAGAAAGCCCAAGAGUAAGCCAUGUGAGGUUGGUGGUGAUGCUUUAAAAGCUAUCGACUUACAAAGGUGUUUGGAAAUGGGCUCGACUUCAAAUCGAGAAGUGUUUGAUUUGUUUCUUAAAUUGGUUUGAAUAAUUUUGAAUUGAUGAUAAAAUUGAGUGAAAUCGAAUUUGUAUUAAUAUGAUCAUUUACAUGAGCGAGGGUAUAGACAUGGGUUACUUAAUUAAAUGACUAACAUGCUAAAAUUGUUUAAACAAAAAUCAAAUAAUUCCACUUAAGAAAAUAAAUAAAAAAUAGCUUAUGCACAUCUAUCUGUAGUGCCAUCAACCUAUAUCAGGUUCAUACAGUGUAUAUCUCUUGGAAUUCUCAAUUUUCCCUUAAUGGUCUAAAAAAAAUCAACUAAAAUAUGACGUAAGAGGCACAUGUCAAUUGUAUGUCCCAUCCUAUUUCGGCUACAAACCAAUUGAAUGCAUAUUUGAAACAAAAGCAAUAUUAUAAAUUAAUAUGCCAGAC